This 261-nucleotide long non-coding RNA is filed under the name Zonotrichia albicollis (white-throated sparrow). RNAcentral's name for it is "lncRNA (ENSZALG00000005506.1)". The record is from RNAcentral. Lineage: Eukaryota; Metazoa; Chordata; Aves; Passeriformes; Passerellidae.
CUCCUCGCCAAGUGCCCGCCCUCAUGUUGCUUCUCUCGCCCCCAGAAAUCCUACGAGCACUUGGCCAAAAUACGAGUAGCGAGAGAAGCGGCUCCAGAGUGCAGCUGCCCACCAGGUCCUCCAGGGAAAAGAGGUAAGCGGGGAAGAAGAGGAGAGACUGUGCUGUCUUGGUACCUACUUCAGAGAAAGAGGCUGUGAUACAGAGAGAAAUUCUGUGGUUCAAGAUUGAAUUACAAAUGAUCCUGGAAAUUACUUUGUGGG